RNAcentral lists this long non-coding RNA (761 nucleotides) under Homo sapiens (human). RNAcentral describes it as "HSALNT0205615". Lineage: Eukaryota; Metazoa; Chordata; Mammalia; Primates; Hominidae. The record is from RNAcentral.
ACUUGAAGUCACUGUAUUUAGUCACUACUGGAUACAUAGUGUGCAAAGAUCAACACUAAACUUAUGAAAUAUAUUUUGAGAAAUCAUUUCUAACAAGUGGUAAUUAAAGCCAAAGGAAAGGAUAAAAUCUCCCAAGGAUAUAUAAUAAAAAGAAAACCAAAGGCAAGAUGUAGGUAAAUGUCCAUAUUAAAGAGUUCAGAAGAUUUCCAAAUGAAGAAAUAAAGGUGACCUUGAAGCAAAAAUUAUAGAAGCAUCAAUUGGCAAGUUCACCAGCAUCCAGCAAAGUAUGAAAAGGGCAGAACUGUGUGCUGUGUGUUCCCGAAACAAGCUGAGACUUAUUUUGUUUCUGCAGUUGCUCUUCAUUUCUGCUUUCCCCAUUGUGUUUUAUGCAUAUGCCUCCCAUUUAUGUUCCUGCCUUUCCAUGCCGAAGUCCAAGGAACACCGUCCCUGCUGACGUGCACACCCGGGCCGAUUUACGGAAUGGAACUGGCAUCACUCCUCCAUGUUUUCACUCACUGCAGGGGUGAGGCACACUGCCAAUUCUGCUACUUCCAGUGUUAGAAGAAUGACAGGAAAGCAAGAUGAAAAAACAGAAAAAAAAUUAGAAGAGGUUCUGAUUACAAGUGUGGCUUUCAGCACAGUGAGAGGAGAAACACAAAUAAAUGACCUGAGUGAUUUCACUGUUAACAUGCACAUCUCACUCACAUAUUCCCAGAUUUUUACAUCUACUAAUAUCUUGCCUGGUGUAUUCAGAUGAUGCC